This 492-nucleotide ribosomal RNA is filed under the name uncultured bacterium. RNAcentral's name for it is "partial 16S ribosomal RNA". It matches the Rfam family "Bacterial small subunit ribosomal RNA", at positions 29 to 507 of the family's 1533-position model. The record is from RNAcentral.
AGUGAACGCUGGCGGUAGGCCUAACACAUGCAAGUCGAACGGCAGCACAGUAAGAGCUUGCUCUUACGGGUGGCGAGUGGCGGACGGGUGAGGAAUACAUCGGAAUCUACUUUUUCGUGGGGGAUAACGUAGGGAAACUUACGCUAAUACCGCAUACGACCUACGGGUGAAAGCAGUGGAUCUUCGGACCUUGCGCGAUUGAAUGAGCCGAUGUCGGAUUAGCUAGUUGGCGGGGUAAAGGCCAACCAAGGCGACGAUCCGUAGCUGGUCUGAGAGGAUGAUCAGCCACACUGGAACUGAGACACGGUCCAGACUCCUACGGGAGGCAGCAGUGGGGAAUAUUGGACAAUGGGCGCAAGCCUGAUCCAGCCAUACCGCGUGGGUGAAGAAGGCCUUCGGGUUGUAAAGCCCUUUUGUUGGGAAAGAAAAGCAGCAGGUUAAUACCCCGCUGUUCUGACGGUACCCAAAGAAUAAGCACCGGCUAACUUCGUG